UACGUAGGGGGCAAGCGUUGUCCGGAUUUAUUGGGCGUAAAGAGCGCGUAGGCGGCCCGGAAAGUCGGAUGUGAAAACCCGGGGCUCAACCCCGGGCCUGCAUCCGAUACUCCCAGGCUGGAGGCAGGUAGGGGAGAUCGGAAUUCCUGGUGUAGCGGUGAAAUGCGCAGAUAUCAGGAGGAACACCGGUGGCGAAGGCGGAUCUCUGGGCCUGUCCUGACGCUGAGGCGCGAAAGCUAGGGGAGCGAACAGG
Molecule: ribosomal RNA, 253 nt
Filed under: uncultured bacterium
Lineage: Bacteria
Description: partial 16S ribosomal RNA
Rfam family: Bacterial small subunit ribosomal RNA
Source: RNAcentral